Molecule: long non-coding RNA, 1447 nt
Filed under: Homo sapiens (human)
Lineage: Eukaryota; Metazoa; Chordata; Mammalia; Primates; Hominidae
Description: HSALNT0336644
Source: RNAcentral
GUAGUUCUGUUUCAAGUUCUUUCAGAAAUUUCUAAACUAGUUUCCACAGUGUCUGAGCUAAUUUACAUUCCCAUCAACAAUAUAUAAGUAUUCCUUUUUCUCAGGUUUGAAGAACUCUCUUUCCUUUGUCUUCUACUCUGGACCUCUCGCCUCAUAAAUACAAAACCCAGCCUGAGGAUUCAAAGUGAAUGUUCCCAAAUUACAAGUGUCUAUAGAAAAUCUCUAUGUAGAGUCUCCACAAGCACUCACCCCACUUGAAUUCCCUUUGCAACUUCUAGUUAAUCACCUUCAUCUUCCCAUGCUUCAGACCUUGUAGUUAUACAGAACUAAUGUCAUCAACACCUAUUAUUUUCAUAUGAAACAGUUUGAUGAUUACAAAAGCCAUUAUAACACAGUACAGAGAGAAUGAUAGUCUGUUUAAAGCACAAGUACUCACAGGCCUGAAGGAAUAUGUAACAAAAUGUCAUUAGUAGUUUUCAAUAGGUUUCAAAGCUGAGUGAUUUUUUAAAACUUAAAAAAUCAUUUACUGAACAUUAGUCAUGGCUCUAAAUAAUUUUGAAAGUAAUCAAUGUUAAUUAAUUUAAUGUAAAUAUUCCAAGGUCAUUACUUUCUCUUUAUGCAACCUUUAUGUUGCUCCUACUUUUAUUUUAUAAUACCUAGAUUGUUAUAAAAGAUUUUGGUUCAAACUCCUGAUUCUAAUUUAUUUCUAUAGAAUUUCACUCUACAUGCCAUUAUGACUAACAAUUCCACCUUCUUCUCGAUUAUGGCCUCAAGAAUCCAAAUUUCACUUUAGUCUUCUAAGCCCCCAUUCCUGGAUUUAAACAGCCAUCUUCUUAUGGCUGUAUCCUACUACUGCAACUUUGCCAUCUUCUGCUAGCCAUGUGACUCCUGGAAUGUCCUUAGUCCUCUCCUCACCUCUCCCACCACUGUUGUGCUCAUUCCUGUCUCUAGGCUAGCUCCUAAAUAUAGCUACCAUACUGAAACUGGGCCAAGUAGAAAGCAUCAUUUCUGUUUCAUGUAACAAAUAUGCUAGGUUCUGAAAAGAAACAUCGGACAUUUAUUUGAAGCCAAGACAAAGAGAUUUUCAGAUACCUAUAAAUGAAGUCAGUAAGCUGAAAGUAUCAGUAAGCUGAAACAUAUGAAGAUGAAAUCAAGAGUCAUGAAUUGAACAAACACACUGGAAAGCUUCAUUAACUGUUUUUCAAGCUGAUGGGGGUAAUUUACUGCUCUUGCACUUCCUGGCUAAGCCAAAAGGAUUAAUGUGUUGUGAAAUGAGGAGUGGUGGUGGGAACAGACUCCCAGUGGGGCAGGAGAGUGCAAUGCUUCGAGUCUCAGAAUUCAAGAUUCAGCAUGUUGAUCUAAAUGGAAUUGAAGAAGUCUUCCCAGAUUUUUCUUUUCUAAUUUCUGCAAGAGAGAUCAUGGGAAGAAAAAGUUACAAGGAAUAAGA